AAACAGUGCUUAUUUGGAAGAAAAAGACAAAACUGUGCGAAGGUGGAGGAUAUAGGACAAGCCUGCCCCGGAUAAGCCGAUAAUCCUCGCUUUCUUUACUACUUCAUUCCUCACCUCCAAACUGUCUCUUUCUGGCUAUUCAGAAGGUGAAGCGGAGAUGAUGAGGAUCCGUUUGGCA
Caenorhabditis elegans is the source of this 178-nucleotide non-coding RNA. The record is from Ensembl. Lineage: Eukaryota; Metazoa; Nematoda; Chromadorea; Rhabditida; Rhabditidae.